Molecule: long non-coding RNA, 3091 nt
Organism: Entelurus aequoreus (snake pipefish)
Lineage: Eukaryota; Metazoa; Chordata; Actinopteri; Syngnathiformes; Syngnathidae
Exons: 3
Source: RefSeq, a predicted model, not a curated record
UUGGGUGCAUUGGACACAAUACACAAAGCUCUGUUUUCUUCGACAAAAUUCCACAGUAUUCUGGACAUCUGUGUUGGUGAAUCUUUUGCAAUUUGUUUAAUGAACAAUGGAGGCUGCAAAGAAGAACGUUGUAGAAGACGCCUAGCUGAUGCUUGCCACCAAACCCACAGAUGAAGUCCUUCGUCGCGCCGUUGAUCGCUGGAACGCAGGCCAAAAGUCCUUCCCAAGUUUCGAAUGGAACCAAGGGGCCAGUCUGGUGUCAUUCCCGAGGUCGAUCAUCUGCAACUUGAGCUAUCCAGGCUCAACUUUAAUUUCCCGCACACGUUUGUACGGAACGCACCAUCCACUACUGCCCGGUAAGCGAAAGUGGGCCAAAUGUAUUUUUAUUCAAUAUUCCUGUCAGCAUGCCCCAAAAGAAACCUUGUAAAAAGGUUAUGAGCGUUCAAAUAAUUUUUUAGCAGGGGUCUCAAACUUUUGUGGCCCUCUACUUAACUUCCUGCUCUUGUGUGGUUGAGGCCCGCGCGUGCGGGGGCAGACGAUAGUUAACUACAUUGUGACAAUCUUGAAUCCAAGUAUAACGAACUCUCAUGGGGCUGUUUGCAACUUGCUCGUAAGUAAGAUUUGAAAAACCAAUAAAAUAAUAAACAACACAAAGAGCAACUUCCAGUCAGCAAGCGGAAGUGUCUCCUGCCAUGUAUUUGAACUAAACAGUGUCAAAAAUAACAAGUUAACUCACGUGAUUAAUCACAAAAAAUGUUGGCAUAAGUGGUGUAUACACGCAGAUUAAUGGUCACACUAGUUAUUUGAACUGCUCCUUUACCUAAACCGCAGAGCAGGUUGUUUUUGUGAUCAGGUCCGUGCAAAGAUGAGUGAGGAGACUCCGACUGGUGUACUCGCUGGCAAGUUUGACUCAGACGGACUUUAGAAGAAACUGUUGCCACAUUUUAAUAUGAAAAAUUGUGGUGCAUUCAAGUAACAAUAAAAAAAAUGGUCCUGUAUGACAUUCUGACAAUAAAAUUGCAUUUGUAUCCAGAUAAUGGGCCCCUUUUUUAAGUUUGUUUAAAUUAUGCAAGCGAGUAAUAACCUGUGAUUAAUCAUGAUUAAUCCACAUUCGAAAGUGUGAUUAAUCUGAUUUAAAAAUGGCCUCUUUAAGUUAAUUUAAAUCAUGCAAAAGUGAGUACCUGUGAUUAAUCAUGAUGAAUCCAAACUGGAAAGUGUGAUUAAUCUGAUUUAAAAAUGGGCUCUUUUUUUAUUCAUUUAAAUUACGCCAGCGAGUAUUGUGAUUAAUCAUGACUAAUCCUAAUUCAAAAGGGUAAUUCAUCUGAUUUAAAAAUGGGCUCAUUAAUUUAAUUAAAGCAAACCAGUAAUAGCCUGUGAUUAAUCAAAAAGUGUAAUUAAUCUGAUUUUUAAAAUGUACUCUUUUUUUAAAGUCCAUUUAAAUUAUGCCAACGAGUAUUGUGAUUAAUCAUGAUUAAUCCAAAUUCAAAAGUGUAAUUAAUCUGAUUUAAAAAAUUGGCUCUUUUUUAAGUUGAUUCAUGUUAUACAAGCAAGUAAUGACCUGUGAUUAAUCAUGAUUAAUCCAAAUUCAAAAGUGUGAUUAAUCUGGUUUAAAAAUGGGUUCUUUAAAUUAAGCAAGAAAGUAGUGAUCUGCGUUCAAAGAACUCCGGCUUAUUAGUGAUUCCCAGAGCCAAAAAAAAGUCUGCGGGCUAUAGAGCGUUUUCUAUUCGGGCUCCAGUACUCUGGAAUGCCCUCCCGGUAACAGUUAGAGAUGCUACCUCAGUAGAAGCAUUUAAGUCCCAUCUUAAAACUCAUUUGUAUAAUCUAGCCUUUAAAUAGACCCCCCCUUUUUUAGACCAGUUGAUCUGCCGUUUCUUUUCUUCUCUCCUCUUCUCCCCUGUCCCUUGCGAGGGGGAGUUGCAUAGGUCCGGUGGCCAUGGAUGAAGUGCUGGCUGUCCAGAGCCGGGACCCCGGGUGGACCACUAGCCUGUGCAUCGGUUGGGGACAUCUCUGCGCUGCUGACCCGUCUCCGCUCGGGAUGGUUUCCUGUUGGCCCCGCUGUGGACUGGACUCCCGCUGAUGUGUUGGAUCCACUGUGGACUGGACUUUUACAAUGUUAUGUCAGACCCACUCGACAUCCGUUGCUUUCGGUCUCCCCUAGAGGGGGGGGGUUACCCACAUAUGCGGUCCUCUCCAAGGUUUCUCAUAGUCAUUCACCGACGUCCCACUGGGGUGAGUUUUUCCUUGCCCGUAUGUGGGCUCUGUACCGAGGAUGUCGUUGUGGCUUGUACAGCCCUUUGAGACACUUGUGAUUUAGGGCUAUAUAAAUAAACAUUGAUUGAUUGAUUGAUUGAAGUAACAACCUGUGAUUAAUCAUGAUUAUCCAAAUUCAAAAGUGUGAUUAAUCUGAUUUAAAAAUUGGCUCUUUAAUUCAAGCAAGCCAGUAAAAACCUGUGAUAAAUCAUGAUUAAUCCAAAUUUAAAAGUGUUAUGAAUCUGAUUUUUAGAAUGGGCUCUUUUUUAAGUUCAUUUAAAUUACGCCAGCGAGUAUUGUGAUUAAUCAUCCAUCCAUUUUCUACCGCGUGUCCCUUUUUUUAAGGGUGUACCCCGCCUACCGCCCGAAUGCAGCUGUGAUAGGCUCCAGCACCCCCGCGACCCUGAAAUGAUCAAUCCAAUUUCAAAAGGGUAAUUAACCUGAUUUAAAAGUGGGAUCUUUAAUUUAAUUAAAGCAAACUAGUAAUAACCUGUGAUUAAUCAUGAAUAAUCCAAAUUUAAAAGUAAUUAAUCAGAUUUUUAAAAUUGGCUCUUUUUUAAAGUAAAUUUAAAUUAUGCCAACGAGUAUUGUGAUUAAUCCAAAUUCAAAAGUGUAAUUACUCUAAUUUAAAAAAUGGGCUCUUUUUUAAGUUAAUUCAUGCUAUAGAAGCAAGUGAUUAAUCAUGAUUAAUCCAAAUCCAAAAGUAUGAUUAAUCUGAUUUAAAAUGGGCUCUUUAAUUCAAGCAAACCAGUUAUAACCUGUGAUUAAUCAUGAUUAAUCCAAAUUUAAAAGUGUAAUGAAUCUGAUUUUUAAAAUGGGCUCUUUUUUAAGUUCAUUUAAA